This is a long non-coding RNA of Chenopodium quinoa (quinoa), 1426 nucleotides long. RefSeq lists it as uncharacterized. Lineage: Eukaryota; Viridiplantae; Streptophyta; Magnoliopsida; Caryophyllales; Amaranthaceae. The transcript has 2 exons. The record is from RefSeq and is a predicted model, not a curated record.
UUGAAAUGGAGGUAGUAUAUUGUUUAGAAAUACCAUAGAAGACAAAGCUGUGGCAGCCAAAAGGGUAGCAAAAAAAAAAAAAAUCGAAUAUUGACUUCCUUGAUAACUUCCGGCUGGAGGGCAAGGCUUGUCAACUUUACAAUGAUGCCGUAAAAGCAGAAUGUCGGAAGAAUGUAAGAAAAACCUCUGUUUUUUGUUUUUUUGGUUUUCGUUUUGUUUUAAGCAUCAAUUUGUUAAUGAGUUUCAUUCUUAUAUUAAUAUUCAUCAAAGACUGGGAAGUCCAAUGGUAGGCACUAUGUUGUGGACCUCAAAACUGCUGAAGAUAGAUAUAUGUAUCUUGCUGAGGCCACAGUAAAGGAGCUGGAGGAACGUGUUGAGGGUGUGAAAAAGUUGAAGGCGUGGUUCUAGACUACAUUAGACAAACAAUGUAAUGAACUGUAACUGUUUUUUUUUUUUUUUUUUUUUUUUUUUUUCAAAGUUUAUGGCAAACUAUGACAUAAUUGUUAUCCUUGGGUCUUAAAACCCUCUUUUGCUCUAGUUUGAAAGUUAGAAAAGGUAAUUCUAUCUUUUAUGAUUUCUGAAGACAUGUAGGGUUUGAUUAAUAAUGGGAUUUGCUAAUGAUUUUGCUUAAUGAGUAUGUAUCUUUUUGGUUUCAAACAUUAGAUUGCCAUUACUUGUAAACAUACUGACAACGAUUCUCAAACAUUAGAUUGCCAUUUCAUAUAUUUGUGGAUAAACAUACUAACAAUGAUUCCCUAACUCGAUAAAUUUAAUGUUUACUUCUUCUAGUCGGCACCAACAUAGUUUUCACUUGUCUUAGUUUUCACUUGUCUAUACAGGAUGUCUGCUCUGAGUCACUUGAGGUAAUGAGAGUCCAUCAAAUUUUCUUUCUGCAUAUUGCUUUUCCACUAGUUCUAAUUCUUCCUAUGCCCUUCUGCAGUCAUGGUUCUGAAGAUAUUGCUGAGCAAACCAUUCUACCCCAUGCUCUUUAAAGCUUGAUCCAUAUUGUUACAUAGCACAUUUAUAUGUUGGAGGAUGAACGAUUUUGCACGGAUGUUGAGGAACAGAUUGAUAGCAAAUAUAGUUUAUAUAACAUGACUAAAACAUUGGUAUUAAAUUUGUUCAUUUCCCGAGUUUGCAAAUCACACUGAUUGUUUCACACUUUGUUCUUGUAUGAUGUAAUGUCAGACUCGGAAUAUAUGUGUAAGAUGUUGUAGUUCUGUUUUGCACUGGAAAGAAAGAUAACAGAUGUAUUACUGUUAGGCCUGUUAUACCAACACUAACUUGUUUCGAUUGUUAAGCUGCUCAAGUGGUCAUUUCUUGGCUUAUCUUAUCAUUUUUACGAUUGUACACUAAAUGAUUUACGUUCAUUGAGGAAAAAUGAUGUGAAGUGCAUUCCAAAAUAUGAUAAGAGUUAAUGAAAAAA